CUUGAAUCUAAGAAAUCAUAAAUUUAGUCCCUAAAAGUGCAAAUUGAUAAUCACAUUAGUCCAAAAUGCAAAAAAUUUAACUAAACUAAUAUUAUUGAUAAUUUCAGGAACUAAAAUGACAAUAAAUAAAUGAAUUUAAGAACUUAACAAGGAUCCAUUGGAGGGAAAUUCUGGUGCCAACAACCGCGAUAAUUCCAUCUCCAAUAGUGUAUAUUUAAGUUGUCACAAUUAAAAAGCUCGUAGUUGGACCUUGGGUUGGGUCGAUCAGUCUGCCUCUAGUGUGCACCGGUCUGCUUGUCCCUUCUGUCGACGAUGCACUCAUGGACUUAAUUGGCCAGGUUGUGCCUCCAGUGCUGUUACUUUGAACAAAUUAGAGUGCUCAAAGCAAGCCUACACUUUGGAUACAUUAGCAUGGGAUAAAAUCACAGGAUUCUGAUCUUAUUGUGUUGGCCUUCAGGAUCAGAGUAAUGAUUAACAAGGACAGUCGGGGGCAUUCGUAUUUCAUAGUCAAAGGUAAAAUUCUUGGAUUUAUGAAAGACAAACAACUGCGAAAGCAUUUGCCAAGGAUGUUUUCAUUAAUCAAGAACGAAAGUUGGGGGCUCGAAGAUAAUUAGAUAUCGUCCUAGUCUCAACCAUAAACGAUGCCGACCAGGGGUCAACAAAUGUUGCUUUUAGGACUCUGCUGGCACCUUAUGAGAAAUCAAAGUCUUUGGGUUUCG
This 719-nucleotide non-coding RNA is filed under the name Cajanus cajan (pigeon pea). RNAcentral describes it as "Eukaryotic small subunit ribosomal RNA". It matches the Rfam family "Eukaryotic small subunit ribosomal RNA", at positions 1 to 1116 of the family's 1831-position model. The record is from Rfam by way of RNAcentral. Lineage: Eukaryota; Viridiplantae; Streptophyta; Magnoliopsida; Fabales; Fabaceae.